AUUGAACGCUGGCGGCAGGCCUAACACAUGCAAGUCGAACGAGUGGCGGACGGGUGAGUAAUGUCUGGGAAACUGCCCGCUGGAGGGGGAUAACUCCUGGAAACGGUCGCUAAUACCGCAUACCCUCGGAUGUGCCCAGAUGGGAUUAGCUAGUAGGUGGGGUAACGGCUCACCUAGGCGACGAUCCCUAGCUGGUCUGAGAGGAUGACCAGCCACACUGGAACUGAGACACGGUCCAGACUCCUACGGGAGGCAGGAGUGGGGAAUAUUGCACAAUGGGCGCAAGCCUGAUGCAGCCAUGCCGCGUGUAUGAAGAAGGCCUUCGGGUUGUAAAGUACUUUCAGCGGGGAGGCGUUACUCGCAGAAGAAGCACCGGCUAACUCCGUGCCAGCAGCCGCGGUAAUAC
This 406-nucleotide ribosomal RNA is filed under the name uncultured bacterium. Its description in RNAcentral is "partial 16S ribosomal RNA". It matches the Rfam family "Bacterial small subunit ribosomal RNA", at positions 30 to 526 of the family's 1533-position model. The record is from RNAcentral.